This 253-nucleotide ribosomal RNA is filed under the name uncultured bacterium. RNAcentral's name for it is "partial 16S ribosomal RNA". It matches the Rfam family "Bacterial small subunit ribosomal RNA", at positions 524 to 776 of the family's 1533-position model. The record is from RNAcentral.
UACGUAGGGGGCUAGCGUUGUCCGGAAUCAUUGGGCGUAAAGAGCGUGUAGGCGGUCCGGUAAGUCCGCUGUGAAAGUCGGGGGCUCAACCCUCGAAUGCCGGUGGAUACUGUCGGGCUAGAGUGCGGAAGAGGCGAGUGGAAUUCCUGGUGUAGCGGUGAAAUGCGCAGAUAUCAGGAGGAACACCGGUGGCGAAGGCGGGUCUCUGGGCCGACAUUGACGCUGAGGAGCGAAAGCGUGGGGAGCGAACAGG